GAUGAAGAACGUAGCGAAAUGCGAUACUUGGUGUGAAUUGCAGAAUCCCGUGAACCAUCGAGUCUUUGAACGCAAGUUGCGCCCGAAGCCAUUAGGCCGAGGGCACGCCUGCCUGGGUGUCACACACCGUUACCCUCGCGCCAACGUCCAUCGUUGGCCGCGGCGCGGGGCGUGCGCUGACCUCCCGCGAGCGGGGUCUCGUGGUUGGUUGAAAAUCGAGUUCGCGGUCGAGGGUGCCGUGAUGAAAUGGUGGAUGGGCGACGCCCGAGGCCAAUCACGCGCGACUCUGUCCGGCUCGGACACCUGGACCCCUUCGGCGUCUCCGGACGCUCUUUGGCGAGACCUCAGGUCAGGCGGGGCUACCCGCUGAGUUUAAGCAUAUCAAUAAGCGGAGGA
Molecule: unclassified non-coding RNA, 396 nt
Filed under: soil metagenome
Description: partial contains 5.8S ribosomal RNA, internal transcribed spacer 2, and large subunit ribosomal RNA
Rfam family: 5.8S ribosomal RNA (bases 1-122)
Source: RNAcentral